Molecule: non-coding RNA, 830 nt
Organism: Tetranychus urticae (two-spotted spider mite)
Lineage: Eukaryota; Metazoa; Arthropoda; Arachnida; Trombidiformes; Tetranychidae
Source: RefSeq, a predicted model, not a curated record
UUACCUUGAUUUAAAAAUUUUUUAUCAUGAUUUCUUUACCUUCCAACAGCUUCAGGCUAAUUGUGAAAAGUAAAUUUAAUUUCAAUUCUUACUGGACUGGUUUUGGCUUUCAGUGUUUGAAAAUGUUGUUGAUCAAAUCUGGUGUUUGCUUGAAACAGAUAAAUCCUUCUUUUUUUAAUUCUGUCAAUUUAUACACCAAAAAUUAUUCACUAAUCACCAUUAAAAAUUUAAUAAUAAUCUUCGUCGUCAUCAUCAAUCGAAAUCCAAUUUACCAAAUCAUCUAAAUCAAUCAACUUGAUCAAAAUUGACUAUAGAUAUCAAUAUUUCAAUUUGUGUGUUCAUUUUGCUUUUUUCACUUGUUUUGGUUUCCAUUGCGUUUUCACUUCAACUAAAUGUAAAUCUUUAGGUCUGGAUUGGUUUAACAAUUAGUGGACCCUUGUAUUUUCGAGUUUUGGCAAGUUGGAACCACUUCCAAAGCUGAAUGGCUUAAAAUUUCAAGUUUACUUUAAGGAUUAGAUUAAAUAUUUCCGGCCCUUUCCAGAUUGACCUAGGAGUGACCUGAAAUUUCCAGCAGGCUUUCCGAAUAAGCAAAUAAGCACUUGGAAUGUUCACAUUUCGUGUUCACUUGCUUUCUUUGGAUUAGUCUCUUUUCUCAGGGAUUGGUGGAAAGGUUGAUUUAAAUAAAAUUUACCAAGGAGCUUUGGGUCGAUUGACCAACUCAAAGGCAUAUGGAAUAGAUUCGAAUGGUUUGACUGAUUUAAAACGAUAACGUAGCAAUAAACGUGAAAGGAUCAUUUUCAACUCCAUAUAUGUAAACCUUUGGCCUAGAC